This is a long non-coding RNA of Oncorhynchus gorbuscha (pink salmon), 1600 nucleotides long. RefSeq lists it as uncharacterized. NCBI's taxonomy places the organism in Eukaryota, Metazoa, Chordata, Actinopteri, Salmoniformes, Salmonidae. The record is from RefSeq and is a predicted model, not a curated record. The transcript has 4 exons.
ACAGCCCUAUAAAUAGUCUUGCUCUUCCCUUGUUCGCUCUUUCACUGAGUUAAGACGUCUGUCGGAAGCGUUAUGGCUAUCAUUAUAAAACUAGGUUAUAUUUGGCAUCCGGACAGAAAAUACAAUACAUCCGUCAUAAAAUGAUAAACUACCUUUGGGGAUCUGUAAAUGAGGGUGAUUUUCGGUCUACAGAAGCGGCUGUAGGAAGUCCUUGAUGUGAAGCUGCCAUCACGUCGUCAGGACUUGGACGCUCAGUGAGGCAGUCUGGUUGGUCAAUCUGAGACCAUGUGACCUGCAUGGCCCUCUGGUUCCAUAGAUGGGAGGGGCUUCCCACUACAAUGGCUGCCCAUCCUGUGGUUUCUCUGGAGUGGUGUGUUUCAGAACCAGAAGGGGUGGUUACUACCCACAGCUGGUGUUAUCUAAUAUAUGUGCUAUGUAUCAAACUAAGCAUUGUAUGUGGGCUAAAUCUUGUAGUGAAUGUGGAGAUUGGCCAAGUUCAAGAGACUAGACUGUUUGGUUUAACCCUGGAUUGUAAACUGAAAUGGUACAUGUAAUUAUUUAACAGUAGCUGGGGGGUCCUGUCUAACACUGCUCUGGUUUCUUGAUAAUCAAUUAGUUUAGACCCUAGUUUUAGCACACCUGGGCUACAGUCCAAACACUUAAGAUGCACACUACCCCCUUCAGCCCUCAUUAAGUGGACACUUCUGAUAACCUAUAAUGAUAUCAAUGUUGCAAUUUAGCGAGUUGUGACAAUUUCUUGGUGUCUCUAAAUUGUUAAACUGAGAAGGUGUAACGGUAGCUGAGAUGGGGAGGGCUGUCUGCGAUAAAGCGCUGCUUUCCGAUCCACAAAACAAUUACUACAGGCUAGUUUUAUCACACCUGAAUUACUGCCCAGUUAUAUCCUAAAGUGCCACAAAGGACAGGCAAAUUGGUUGGCCCAGAAUGUGGAAGUACUGCUGGCCCUUAAAGGGAUACUUCAGUGUUUCUUUUUAAUGGGGCCUUUUAUUUACUUCUCCAGUCUGACGUCAUGGAUAUCCGUUAGGUCUGCAUCCAGUUUAAAGGAAGUAGCCAGCUAUUGCUUAUAGCGUUAGCAGAUACCACAGACAAUCUUCAUUUCGCUAACGCUGACUUACAAUUGUGCCAGUUAGCUACUUCAUUUCAAACUAGAUGCAGAGGCAUAAAUGGUAUUGAGGUCAUAUGACUCUGGAAGUAGACAAUAGAGCCCAGUUGUCAAAAACUUUAAUUUACAAUGUACUCGUCACCCCUCCCUCUGCUUGCCAUACCUGUAAACUCCCGAGUGGCGCACCUGUCUUAAGGUGCUGGAGACCUCACUGCAGACACCCUGGUUUGAAUCUAGGCUGUGUCACAACCGGCCAUGAUCGGUAAUCCCAUAGGGCGUCGUCCAGGUUUGGCCAGUGUAGGCAGUUGUUGUAAAUAAGAAUUUGUUCUUAACGGACUUAUUUACUUCAUUUAAAAAAAUACGUAUUUAAGUGUACCCUACAACUGGUGUCGCAACAGUAUGGUUGAUCUCCAGUGUAGAGACUGGUGUUUAGUUGUAAUAUUUUUAUGAUGUCAAUAAAGUUUUAUAACAUGUGUUCUA